GUCCACGCCGUAAACGAUGAUCACUCGAUGUUGGGAGUUCGACCCUCUCAGUGUCUAAGCUAACGCGAUAAGUGAUCCGCCUGAGGAGUACGGCCGCAAGGUUAAAACUCAAAGGAAUAGACGGGGACCCCACACAAGCGGUGGAGCGUGUGGUUUAAUUCGACAAUAAGCGAGGAACCUUACCAAGGCUUGACAUCCUCCUAAUUUUUCCGAAAGGAAGAAGUGCCGUAAGGAAAGGAGAGACAGGUGAUGCAUGGUUGUCGU
This 264-nucleotide ribosomal RNA is filed under the name uncultured bacterium. Its description in RNAcentral is "partial 16S ribosomal RNA". It matches the Rfam family "Bacterial small subunit ribosomal RNA", at positions 793 to 1055 of the family's 1533-position model. The record is from RNAcentral.